UCUUCCCUCUUUCUUCGUGCCUAAUACAUGCAAGUCGAGCGAACGGACGAGAAGCUUGCUUCUCUGAUGUUAGCGGCGGACGGGUGAGUAACACGUGGAUAACCUACCUAUAAGACUGGGAUAACUUCGGGAAACCGGAGCUAAUACCGGAUAAUAUUUUGAACCGCAUGGUUCAAAAGUGAAAGACGGUCUUGCUGUCACUUAUAGAUGGAACCGCGCUGCAUUAGCUAGUUGGUAAGGUAACGGCUUACCAAGGCAACGAUGCAUAGCCGACCUGAGAGGGUGAUCGGCCACACUGGAACUGAGACACGGUCCAGACUCCUACGGGAGGCAGCAGUAGGGAAUCUUCCGCAAUGGGCGAAAGCCUGACGGAGCAACGCCGCGUGAGUGAUGAAGGUCUUCGGAUCGUAAAACUCUGUUAUUAGGGAAGAACAUAUGUGUAAGUAACUGUGCACAUCUUGACGGUACCUAAUCAGAAAGCCACGGCUAACUACGUG
This 497-nucleotide ribosomal RNA is filed under the name uncultured bacterium. Its description in RNAcentral is "partial 16S ribosomal RNA". It matches the Rfam family "Bacterial small subunit ribosomal RNA", at positions 36 to 507 of the family's 1533-position model. The record is from RNAcentral.